RNAcentral lists this ribosomal RNA (492 nucleotides) under uncultured bacterium. RNAcentral's name for it is "partial 16S ribosomal RNA". It matches the Rfam family "Bacterial small subunit ribosomal RNA", at positions 29 to 507 of the family's 1533-position model. The record is from RNAcentral.
AGUGAACGCUGGCGGUAGGCCUAACACAUGCAAGUCGAACGGCAGCACAGUAAGAGCUUGCUCUUACGGGUGGCGAGUGGCGGACGGGUGAGGAAUACAUCGGAAUCUACUUUUUCGUGGGGGAUAACGUAGGGAAACUUACGCUAAUACCGCAUACGACCUACGGGUGAAAGCAGGGGAUCUUCGGACCUUGCGCGAUUGAAUGAGCCGAUGUCGGAUUAGCUAGUUGGCGGGGUAAAGGCCCACCAAGGCGACGAUCCGUAGCUGGUCUGAGAGGAUGAUCAGCCACACGGGAACGGAGACACGGUCCAGACGCCUACGGGAGGCAGCAGUGGGGAAUAUUGGACAAUGGGCGCAAGCCUGAUCCAGCCAUACCGCGUGGGUGAAGAAGGCCUUCGGGUUGUAAAGCCCUUUUGUUGGGAAAGAAAAGCAGCAGGUUAAUACCACGCUGUUCUGACGGUACCCAAAGAAUAAGCACCGGCUAACUUCGUG